Molecule: ribosomal RNA, 449 nt
Filed under: uncultured bacterium
Lineage: Bacteria
Description: partial 16S ribosomal RNA
Rfam family: Bacterial small subunit ribosomal RNA
Source: RNAcentral
AGCGAACGCUGGCGGCAGGCUUAACACAUGCAAGUCGAACGCAUCCUUCGGGUUGAGUGGCAGACGGGUGAGUAACACGUGGGAACAUACCUUUUGGUUCGGAAUAACUCAUGGAAACGUGAGCUAAUACCGGAUACGCCCUUUUGGGGAAAGAUUUAUUGCCGAAAGAUUGGCCCGCGUCUGAUUAGCUAGUUGGUAAGGUAAUGGCUCACCAAGGCGACGAUCAGUAGCUGGUCUGAGAGGAUGAUCAGCCACACUGGGACUGAGACACGGCCCAGACUCCUGCGGGAGGCAGCGGUGGGGAAUAUUGGACAAUGGGCGCAAGCCUGAUCCAGCCAUGCCGCGUGAGUGAUGAAGGCCUUAGGGUUGUAAAGCUCUUUUAUCCGGGAAGAUAAUGACUGUACCGGAAGAAUAAGCCCCGGCUAACUUCGUGCCAGCAGCCGCCGUAA